Molecule: long non-coding RNA, 409 nt
Filed under: Salvator merianae (Argentine black and white tegu)
Lineage: Eukaryota; Metazoa; Chordata; Lepidosauria; Squamata; Teiidae
Description: lncRNA (ENSSMRG00000017952.1)
Source: RNAcentral
GGCGAAUCAAACUAAAGCCUUCAUUCAAAUGGUUAUUCAGCUUGGGCAUUCAUGGAGAGGAUGGGGCGGAUUUUACACAGGUAACAACAACAGAAAGGCCAGCCUGGACUUCAGCCACAACAUAUGUUGUAGAUGGAACCUUUGAUUUAUUUCUCAUCCCUUCAUCUGUGGAACAUGUUCUUCAUCUUCUUCCUUCUCUGGAUGCAAUCCCAUUGGGUGAAGCUACUGGUGGAAUGAUGACAAAGUGGCUCGCAAUUAUCUGGCUGACAUUAGAAUCCAUCUGAAAUGGACACUAAAGGAAGAAUCUAGCAUCCCCAUCUGCAAUUCCAGCUCUGUUUGGCACGGAACCAACUUCACAAAUAUACAUUCCUUUUUUCCCCCCAGUAAAUCCCAUGGCCAAUGAACGCUG